ACUGUGAGAGAUAGUGCUGAUGAUAACACAGACGAUAACGGGUGACUAAUUUGACCGUUGUGAUCACUUGGGCGUUACAGGAUAACUUUACUCUCGUGUGUUUGUCCGGUUGACAUCAAUCCAUCUAUCAAGGCAGGAUGUCGUCUACACUGUUUAAGUUGUUCCUGGUGUGUUCACUUUGCUAUUUAGCAACAUCCUCCAAAGUAUCCUCUAAUGCUCGAGGUUCCUCGAAACAGACAAUUUCGGUAAUGACAGUCAGCCAAAUGACAUCAAAUGCCACGGUCAACGCAAUGACAACGAACACCGCUGUAGUCACGUCAGGAAAGACUGGAUCUAACCCUACAAACCAAGGACCAACGGAGACGAGUCCGGAACCGAAAUCCCCAACGACAAACCCAGGACACCACAUCACUUCACAAUCAACACAAGGAUCGCAUACGUCAGAUAGCAACCCCAGAACAACUCCAGCGCCACCUCAUGCAUCUGCCACUUCUUUCAGUUCCUCAACAGUAUCAUUGUUGAUUAGUGUAGGCAUGUCUCUGGUGUAUAAGAGCUGGUUGUAGAACAUUUGUUGCAUAACAUACCUUGACCCCUAUGACGUUCUGCGCAACACAAAGCGAUAAUUGAACAGAGAUUGCGGUUGCUUAUUUGACCUAUGCUGUACACUGGUCUGUACAAUAGCUUACUAUAGUAUUUAUUCUACGGUCGUGAAGCUUGUGUUAAUCAUCACAUUUGUUUGAUUUUUUUUUCUGUUUAUUUGUUUGUUUGGUUUCUUAGCAAAAAAUGAAUUUUGGUGAAAUAAAUAUCUGACACUGGAUGUCGAUACACGUACCAUAUCAAAUAAAA
Long non-coding RNA from Ostrea edulis (European flat oyster), 846 nucleotides. RefSeq lists it as uncharacterized. NCBI's taxonomy places the organism in Eukaryota, Metazoa, Mollusca, Bivalvia, Ostreida, Ostreidae. The record is from RefSeq and is a predicted model, not a curated record. The transcript is spliced from 2 exons.